Molecule: ribosomal RNA, 460 nt
Filed under: uncultured bacterium
Lineage: Bacteria
Description: partial 16S ribosomal RNA
Rfam family: Bacterial small subunit ribosomal RNA
Source: RNAcentral
CCUACGGGUGGCAGCAGUGGGGAAUAUUGGUCAAUGGACGAGAGUCUGAACCAGCCAAGUAGCGUGAAGGAUGACUGCCCUAUGGGUUGUAAACUUCUUUUAUAUGGGACUAAAAUGUUCCACGUGUGGGAUUUUGUAUGUACCAUAUGAAUAAGGGUCGGCUAACUCCGUGCCAGCAGCCGCGGUAAUCCGGAGGAUCCGAGCGUUAUCCGGAUUUAUUGGGUUUAAGGGGAGCGUAGAUGGGUUGUUAAGUCAGUUGUGAAAGUUUGCGGCUCAACCGUAAAAUUGCAAUUGAUACUGGCAGUCUUGAGUACAGUGGAGGUAGGUGGAAUUCGGGGUGUAGCGGUGAAAUGCUUAGAUAUCACGAAGAACGCCGAUUGCGAAGGCAGCUGACUAAACUGCAACUGACACUGAUGCUCGAAAGUGUGGGUAUCAAACAGGAUUAGAUACCCCAGUAGUC